UGGCUGCUAUCAAUAUUUUAAUACUUUCGCUGCUAAUUUUCGCUCUCCCCAGAACGGCUGAAGGUUCUACCCUGAACUCCUGUCCCGACUUCCUUUGAUGAUGGAAAGUGAUGUGGAAGUGUGAGGCGUGACCGAGGGUAUCUAUGCACCUGCAUGCGAUGCCUGCGGAGGCCAGAGGAGGACGUCGGAUCCCCUG
Long non-coding RNA from Psammomys obesus (fat sand rat), 196 nucleotides. RefSeq lists it as uncharacterized. Lineage: Eukaryota; Metazoa; Chordata; Mammalia; Rodentia; Muridae. The record is from RefSeq and is a predicted model, not a curated record. The transcript is spliced from 3 exons.